GGGCCCGUGGCGUAGUCUGGGAGCGCACCGGCCUUUUAAGCCGGCAGUCGUGGGUUCAAAUCCCGCCGGGCCCG
Molecule: transfer RNA, 74 nt
Filed under: candidate division MSBL1 archaeon SCGC-AAA261F19
Lineage: Archaea; Methanobacteriati; Methanobacteriota
Description: candidate divison MSBL1 archaeon SCGC-AAA261F19 tRNA
Rfam family: tRNA
About the family: Transfer RNA (tRNA) molecules are approximately 80 nucleotides in length. Their secondary structure includes four short double-helical elements and three loops (D, anti-codon, and T loops).
Source: Rfam by way of RNAcentral